CUUUGGUUCUUUUCUACUAGGAAUAGCUGCAGCAUUUCUGCCAGAGACCUGGCUUGGACUUCAGUGGGACAUCUCCUGUCCUGAGCCACGGGAUCAGGCUCUUACAAGUCUGAGGUUGAGCAGCAGUAGGGGAAAGCAGCAGUUGCCAGUCACUGGAAGGGCUGGUUAGUUUGCCCAUACACAUAAAGGAAAUAUCAAUGUAAAAUGCUAUCCAGAAGUGCCCCCCAUUCAAGCCGCCCGAGUCAAAGAAACUAACAAAUAGAACAUUAUUAUAGAAAAAUGAGGGCUCUGAGAAAUCAGCAACUGGAAGAUAACUCUGUAACUAAUAAAAGAAAAGAGCCUUUUGAUGGCUCCAGCUGAAAA
Long non-coding RNA from Alligator sinensis (Chinese alligator), 363 nucleotides. RefSeq lists it as uncharacterized. The transcript has 3 exons. The record is from RefSeq and is a predicted model, not a curated record. NCBI's taxonomy places the organism in Eukaryota, Metazoa, Chordata, Crocodylia, Alligatoridae.